CCUCUUGGUCCCUCCCCACAGCCUCUUCUUAGCACUUGCUGGGCGGGGAGGGGACAGCGGGAGCGCCCCCAAGCAGUGCACACCUUGCGCAUCUAUCCCGGGCUGCAGCGUCACCAUGCCUGACAACAGCUCCAUCGCCAACUGCUGUGCGGCCAGCGGGCUGGCAGCGCGCCCUAGUUGGCCCGGGUCAGCGGAGGCGGAGCCCCCUGAGACUCCCCGGGCACCCUGGGUGGCUCCCAUGCUAUCUACAGUAGUCAUUGUCACCACAGCUGUGGACUUCGUGGGGAACCUGCUUGUGAUCCUCUCGGUGCUCAGGAACCGCAAGCUGCGGAACGCAGGUAAUUUAUUUGUGGUGAAUCUGGCCUUGGCUGACCUGGUGGUAGCCCUGUACCCUUACCCACUCAUCCUUGUGGCCAUUCUCCAUGACGGUUGGGUACUUGGGGAGAUCCACUGUAAGGCCAGUGCCUUUGUGAUGGGCCUGAGUGUCAUUGGCUCUGUCUUCAACAUCACAGCCAUUGCCAUCAACCGCUACUGGUGCAUCUGUCACAGUGCGACCUACCACCGAGCCUGCAGUCAGUGGCAUGCUCCCCUCUACAUCAGCCUCAUCUGGCUUCUCACUCUGGUGGCCUUGGUGCCCAAUUUCUUUGUGGGGUCUCUAGAAUAUGACCCGCGAAUCUAUUCCUGCACCUUCAUCCAGACAGCCAGCACCCAAUACACUAUGGCUGUGGUGGCCAUCCACUUCCUCCUUCCAAUUGCUGUGGUGUCCUUUUGCUACCUGCGAAUAUGGAUACUGGUGCUCCAGGCCCGAAGGAAGGCAAAGGCUGAGAGAAAGCUACGCCUGAGACCCAGUGACCUGCGCAGUUUCCUAACCAUGUUCGCAGUGUUUGUGGUUUUCGCCAUAUGCUGGGCCCCCCUCAACUGUAUUGGCCUUGCAGUGGCCAUCAAUCCAGAGGCAAUGGCUCUUCAGAUCCCAGAAGGGCUUUUUGUCACCAGUUACUUCCUAGCUUACUUCAACAGCUGCCUUAAUGCUAUUGUUUAUGGGCUUCUGAACCAGAACUUCCGCAGGGAGUACAAGAGGAUCCUCUCGGCCCUCUGGAGCACUGGGCGCUGCUUCCAUGAUGCUUCCAAAUGCCACCUGACUGAGGAUUUGCAGGGCCCAGUGCCACCUGCUGCCAUGGCCACCAUACCUGUCCAGGAAGGUGCUCUCUAGCCUGCAUCAGCUCGUGGACCUAGCAGCAAACCUGUGAAAUGAGCAGAACGGAAUUGCUGUCAGUGCUGUUCAAUUACUUGCUCACACUGCAGCCCACAACUGGUGAACUCAAGUGACCACAGGGACAAACCUGCAGACACUCCUAAUGGCAAACUGGGCACUGGAUUCCAAUUGGCUGGGACAGAAGUCAAGCUGUACUCAUAAGAUGUCAUUUUCCCUGCCACCUUGACCUGUUACUGAAUGUUGCCUCUUCCUUGAAGGGCCAGGGGAAAAAGAUCUCUUGAUUACCUGAGCCGAAAGAUCAAAAUCUGCAGUGUUGAAGUGAGACUUCGUUCCUAUGGAAGGAGAAGUAACCUACAUCUACACUCAUCGAACAGCCACUGUAACCCAGAAAUCGCAGUUCUGAGAGUUCAGCAAUAAGAUCGAAGUCAAGAUCUCACUGACUUACGUGCACUCCCAUGUCUGUGAUGAUACUGCUCAAAAUGGCCCAGAUGUGAAAACAUCUGUUGUAUUCAAAUGUUCUGAUACCCCUUGGCACUUAGAUGAAUUUCAAGUGCUGGUUCCAUUCUUAGCAUUUUGGGUAAAAUGCUGUGGGUCAAAGUGGCUGCUUGAUUUCAGUCCAACAAAAGUGUUGAUACUCCAACCCCC
Molecule: RNA transcript, 1858 nt
Organism: Rattus norvegicus (Norway rat)
Lineage: Eukaryota; Metazoa; Chordata; Mammalia; Rodentia; Muridae
Gene: Mtnr1b
Gene name: melatonin receptor 1B
Exons: 3
Source: RefSeq, marked validated